GGGAAACCACUCGCCUAACGAGUGGGCGUCCGGCGGAAAACUACAGGGCUUGGGACCGGAAGACUUGAGGGGUACGUCUGGGGUAGGAGUGAAAUCCUGUAAUCCUGGACGGACCGCCGAUAGCGAAAGCACCUCAAGACGACGGAUCCGACAGUGAGGGACGAAAGCUAGGGUCUCGAACCGGAUUAGAUACCCGGGUA
Molecule: ribosomal RNA, 200 nt
Filed under: uncultured archaeon
Lineage: Archaea
Description: partial 16S ribosomal RNA
Rfam family: Archaeal small subunit ribosomal RNA
Source: RNAcentral